Molecule: unclassified non-coding RNA, 235 nt
Filed under: Hevea brasiliensis (rubber tree)
Lineage: Eukaryota; Viridiplantae; Streptophyta; Magnoliopsida; Malpighiales; Euphorbiaceae
Source: RNAcentral
GAAUGUAUCACAACUUUAUUCCCCUACUAUACUGGGUGUAACUCUGGCCUUAUAUUCAUUGCUUACAAGAUAAGGUGAGUUUUGAUGCUAUCAUUAGUUUUUCCCUUUAUGUUUUUUAUUAUCCUUAAUAAAUUAUUACAUAUAUUCUUUUCAAUGUGCAUGACAUCUAAGUUGUGGCGUAGUAAUAAGGUCCUCCAAUAUGGAAGGUCAAAGAAUAUACUCUUUUUAUUCCAAU